This is a long non-coding RNA of Chenopodium quinoa (quinoa), 8472 nucleotides long. RefSeq lists it as uncharacterized. The transcript is spliced from 3 exons. Lineage: Eukaryota; Viridiplantae; Streptophyta; Magnoliopsida; Caryophyllales; Amaranthaceae. The record is from RefSeq and is a predicted model, not a curated record.
GGGAGUACAAGAAUAAUUCAAAGAAAUUAUUACAACAAUGACAAUGAUAAUAAGAGUACGUAUUAAAACUAAGAUCAAUAAGAGAGUGAGGUAUAACUCAAUUAGUUCUUCUUAGUUUCAGGAGAUCCUGAAAGUGAUUCUUAGCCUAAAGUUUUAAACACAAAAAAAAAAAAAAAAAAGUUAAUAAAAGUCAAACAAUUAUUAUAAUCCAUGAAAAAAAUAGCCUUAAUAAAUAUAGUGAGUUUUUCGUCAAAAAAUAAAUAAAUAUAUAUACAGAGUUGAAUUUAAUCCAAUGAAUCACCCGAAUUGACUCGACUAGAAGUUGACCCGGAAUUGGACCCGAAAAUUGACCUGACCCGAACUGACCCGACCCAAACUUGACCCAAACCCGAACUCGACCCAAACUAUUGACCCAAUACCCGACCUGACCCGAUUAUCAGUCAACCCGAAAUCAACCCGAAACCCGAAAUGACCCGACCCGACCCGAACUUGACCCGACCCGAAAUGACCCGACCUGAAUGACCCAUUUGCCAGAUCUACUCACACCCCUCCCUACUGUUGAAUCUGCUUGUUCCAUGCUGCAACAAGAAGAGAGUCAAAAAGAAAUCCUGCUCAUAGGCAAGAAUGAGCCUGAAUGAGCCUGCUCAUAGGCAAGAAUGAGCCUGACUCAUAAGCAAGAAUAAGCCUGAUUCUCAGCAAUGUACAGCAGAAAUUCUGCUACUUAUCCUACUCCUGGUUCUGCUAAUAGACUUCCUCUUUGUAGUACUUGUGGGAGGAAAGGGCAUAGUUCAGAUAGGUUUUGGUUAUUAGUUGGGUAUCCAACUUGGCAUCAUAAAUACAAACCAAGCACGGCAAAGCCAAUUCCCAGACAGAAUGAACAGAAAUGGACUAGGCAAGGUCCUAAGUUAGCAGUUGUUGCUUAGAGUGCAGGCACUAGUAGUUCUGGUUCUAUAACCCUAACUCAAGCACAAUUUGAAAAAUUGCUUCAGAAUAUUCCCUCAGCAAAUGCUGCAUCCCAGCAUAGGGGGGAUGACACUGAUGAAGAGCUAGAGAACUUCUCUGGUAUGGUGUCCUGCUGUAAUGCAAUCAAAGUGUCAAAUGACUGGAUAAUUGAUUCAGGUGCAUCUGACCACAUGACUUCUAACCUUCAAAAUCUCAGUGAAUUUCAACCUGUUCUCUCUUAGCUCAAGAUAAAUUUUCCAACUGGUGAAACUUCAAGAAUAUCACACAUAGGAUCUAUGGAACUUCCUAACUCUCUGACCCUUAGGAAUGUGUUAUGUGUUCCUAACUUCAAGCAUAACUUGUUGUCUGUAAACAAGUUGAUCAAAGAUUCUCAGUGUGAAGUGGUCAUCUAUGGAACACAUUGUGUAAUAAGAGAUAUAAAAUCAAAGAAGAUCAAGGGGCUGGGAAAGGUGAAAAAUGGCCUUUACUACUUGAUUAAUGGCUCUACUGAUCAAAGUUCCAAUAUUCUUCAACUGACAGGCAACAAUGAGAAUGAUGGUGAUGAACAUCUAGACUUAGCAAUCUCAUCAAAGACUGAGAGUGUUCCUUUUGCUGUGUGGCAUCACAGACUAGGACAUGCUUCACUCAGCAAACUGAAGCAUAUUGAAUGUGUUAAGAAGACAAUAACAUAAAAUAGCCAAGUUUGUGUGACCUGUCCCCUGGCUAAAUUCACUAAGCAGCCUUAUCAGUUGAGUACAUCUUAUGCUAAGGAACCAUUUGAAGUGGUUCAUAUGGACAUUUGGGGCCCACAAAGUAUGUACUAGAAGAAAAUACAGAUAUUUUCUCACUUUGGUGGAUGACUAUUCAAGAAUGACAUGGGUGUAUUUAUUGGAGCAAAAAUCUGAUUCUCUGGCACAAUUCAAGUCUUUCUAUAAUUAUGCUCUCACUCAGUUUGAGAAGAAAAUCAAAGUUCUUAGGUCAGACAAUGCCCUUGAAUUUGAUGAUGGGCCAUGCCAAGAGUUUUUUGCCCAAAUGGGAAUUGUGCAUCAAACUUCCUGUGUUGACAGGCCACAACAGAAUGCAAGGGUGGAAAGAAAGCACAGACAUAUACUUGAGAUUGCAAGAGCCAUCAUAUUUCAAGCUAGUUUGGAGCUAUCUUAUUGGGGAGAAUGUGUCAUGACUGUUGUACACAUCAUAAAUAGAUUGCCUACCACAGUUUUAAAUAACAAAACACCAUUUGAAAUGUUAUUUAACUCUGUUCCUGAGUAUGAUCACUUGAAAGUAUUUGGGUGUUUAGUUUUUGCUUACACACACUCAGUUCAGAAAGAUAAACUUCAACCCAGAGGUUUGCCAUGUGUAUUCUUGGGAUAUCCAGCUACUCAAAAAGGGUACAGACUCCUUGAUUUGUCAAAUAAGAAGAUCUUUGUGUCUAGAGAUGUUGUGUUUCAUGAAACCAUCUUUCCUUUCCAACUUUCCUCUCUUGAUCAGCUCAUGAAACCCCUACCAGUACCCUUUCCUAACUAGAAUCAUUACCCUAUCUUUUUUUAUGACUGUCCUGUUCCCUUGGGUGCACAAAAUGACAUUCAUGAAAAUCAGACUUUGUCUGAUGAUGACAAUGAUACUGAUGCACAAAAUCAAUCCCCAAACACAAGCUCAAACACAAACCAAAACACUUAUCCCCCACCACCUCCACCACCACCUCCCAGACAAAGCCAUAGACCAUCAAAACAGCCUUACUGGAUGAGAGACUAUGUUCAGCCAAAAAAUAAAAACAAAAAUCAGCAAAUAGCCAAUUUUGCAAACCAGCAGGUUUUCCCUGAAUUCUACUGUUUUCUUUCUACUCUUGAAAGCACCACUGAUCCAGUCCACUACAAACAUGUUGUGCAAUCUGAUCAAUGGGUUGCAGCUAUGAACCUAGAGCUUUCUCAGUGUAAACUUAAUGGUACUUGGGAGGUCACAACUCUGCCACCUGGAAAGAAGGUCAUAGGAAGCAAAUGGGUGUAUAAAAUAAAGUUCAAAUCUGAUGGCACCAUUGAUAGACAUAAGGCAAGAAUUAUGGUUUUAGGUAACAGACAACAAUUUUGCAUAGAUUACAAGGAAACCUUUGCCCCUGAUGCCAAAAUGACAACUGUAAGGACAAUCUUAGCUAUGGCUUCUAUGUAUAAUUGGAACACCACCCAAAUGGAUGUGACCAAUGCUAAUCUGCAUGGUGACUUGCUGGAAGAUGUUUAUAUGUCAAUCCCCCCAGGGUAUUUCUCUUUUGGGCACAUAAUUCAAGUUGAUUCAAGUGCUUCUGCUCCCUGCAAGACCUCUCAUUUGGUCUAUAAGCUUAAAAAAUCCUUAUAUGGAUUAAAGCAGGCACCUAGGCAAUGGUUUUCUAAACUUUCUGAGACUAUUAUAUCCUUUGGGUUCACACAGUCUAAGGAAGAUUAUAGUCUAUUUACUAGAUGUCUGAACAAUAACUUCACUGUUGUACUAGUCUAUGUAGAUGAUCUCUUGAUCACUGGUAACUCUGAAUAAGACAUUGAUGAGGUCAAGCUUCUUUUGUCAUCAAAGUUUCACAUGAAGAAUCUGGGGCCACUGAGAUAUUUCCUUGGUCUAGAAAUAGACAGAUCAGAUCAGGGAAUUUUUAUUUCUCAGAAGAAAUACACAACAGACUUGCUAACAGAGUACAACAUACUUAAUGUAAAGCCCUUGAAAUUGCCAAUGGAUACUCACUUAAAAAUGAGUGAUAGCAAAGGUGAUCCUUUGUCAAAUCCUACCCAUAUCAGCAGCUCCUUGGGAAGCUCAUAUACUUAACUGUCACCAGACCUGAUAUCUCUUUUACUGUCCAGAAUCUAAGCCAGUUCAUGCAUUCACCAACCACAGUGCAUAUGCAAGCUACAAAGAGGCUCCUUAGAUACCUAGCUGGUACUUGUUCUCAGGCAUAUUACUAGCUUCUGCUUCUGCUACCAUUCUCAUUGCAUAUUGUGACAGUGAUUGGGCAAGUUGUCCAAUUUCCAGGAGAUCCACCACAGGUUAUUGCAUACUCCUUGGUGUUUCCCCUAUAUCCUGGAAAUCUAAGAAGCAACCAGUGGUGGAUCGUUCAUCAUCUGAAGCUGAAUACAGGGAAAUGGCUCUUACAGCAUGUGAAGUAACUUGGAUUAAAGCUUUGCUAAAAGAUAUGAAUUUAUCUCACUUAGCUAAGACUGUGCUUAAAUGUGACAACAAGGCAGCCUUAGCAAUUGCAGCAAACCCUGUAGUGCAUGAAAGGACCAAACAUGUGGAAAUAGACUGUCACUAUGUUAGGGAUAUGGUCAAGGCUGGAGAUAUUGAACCACAAUAUGUUUCCUCAACAAAUCAGCUAGCAGAUGUCUUCACCAAAAUUCUGCCAGUUAAGCAGCACAAUGGUCUUCUACUCAAGUUGGGAGUCAAAUCUUCACCUGCCUCUCAGCUUGAGGGGGGGUAAUGAGGUUAAUAUAAGCUAAUAUACAGCUACAAGGGUAAUAUAUACAGUCAUAGCAGCUAGUUGUUAGGAUAUUUUGUGUGAUGUUUUCUAGGAUGAUUCUAGUGAAUGCUAGGCAAUGAUUAGCUGUAAGGAUUAGCUGCCACUCUUGUCUUCUAGCUAAUAUAUAAACUGUUGUAAUCAGUCCUUGAGGAAUAAUGAGAAAUGACCUAAUAUUCUCCCUCUUAUUCUGCCUCCUUUUCAAUUAUUCUCUGGUUACUGAGCUAGUCUCCUUGCAUCUCUUAACAUUAUUUCUGUCAUCACAAUCCAUUUGCACAAAGACAAAUUUAUUGGUUUCAAUUCACUUUUGAAACAGAACAUAUAUGACAAUAACUAUAAAUGCCUACUAAAGCCAUAUAAAAUCAUACCACGAGGUAGUUGAACUAUCUCAUGUACAUGCAUUAUGAUUGACAUUAAUUUGGUAUGUACCAUAUAUGGUCAUAUUGUCUGUAACUUUAUGAGUGGAACCUAUUAUGAAACAUACUGCCACUUUCAAUGUUGAAAUAAUUAUUGAUGUGUGAUUUGAAUAUGAUUACAUAUAUACUAUUAUACGCCUUAAUGAAGUUGGAUAUAUAGGAAUGUUGAAUAAGUUGGACAUGAAAUACUCAUACCUAAGAACUUGAAGUUCCUUUAAUCUUUGAAUGUUUACAAACCCGCUACAAAAAAUUUGGUGGCCUCCUACUUUUAAGUUUUCCACGUGGGAGACGAUUUUUUUUCGAAUCUCUAAAGUGUCAUCUUAUUUUUUUUAAUUUACAAUUAGUGGCCUAAUUGUCAUUAAAGGUGCUAACCAUCUCCUAAAUGGCUACUUUUUUAACUAAAGUAGAUAAAAUGACUAACCUACCCCUGAUUUAAUGCAUCCCCUCCCCUUUUUCAUUAAUGCCAACCACACUGCACUGUUCCUCGACAUUCAUCCAUCAAAAAUCCCAAAACCUUUCUUCUUCAUUCAACAAACAUCAAAUCACAACUGAAACUGUGUGUGUUUUAAUUAGGGUGAAACAAACACAACUGAUUGACGUUUUUUUUUUCGAAAUUAUUGAGAAAUUGGUAGAGAUUAAGGGUUUAGUGAAGAUCGAAAUUUGGCAAAUUUGGGGGAGCAAAAUUUAGGGGUUUUGGUGGGAUUUGAAGCAGAAUUCGGACAAUCGUGGACAUCCUAGGAGUUGCUAAGUACUAUACAGACCUUAAGCAAGGUAUGUCUUUAAAUAUUACAGUUUUUUGAUUUUAUUUAGACUUGCAGAAGUUAGGUGCUCUGUUUUUUGUUGUGUGUGUAUAUGUUGAUUAAAGAUGAUAACUUUAUGCUUGUAUGUGGGUGUUUGAUGUUUAAAUUUAUGCGUCUAGUUGUUAUGUUGCAGAAUGGAUCAAGUUAUGCUUAAGUUUGCUCAUAUGGGUAAUGUAAUUGAUGUUUUUGUUGAAGAUGUGGACAAAAUCAUGUGGAUUGAUUUGAUCAUUGAGUGUGAGGAAAGGUUUAGGAAAAACAACUAUGACUUCCCUAAAUUCCCUAAGUUUCACUACUGUUAUAAAAUGAAAGAUGUUAACAUUACUUCGGAUAGUGAUCUAAUGAGUAUGCUGGAUAGAUUGAAGGAUAGGGAAGAGAUUACUAUUUGGAUUGGGUUUGGAGAUAAACCUAGUGAUUGUGUUAUUGCUGCUAGAAAACUUGCUGAAACACUGAACAAAAACAACCCUGAUAGCCCACCUAAAAACUUGAAUAUUCUAGAAAAGGAACAGUCUCAGUAAAUGAGGGGUUAAAUGAUCUUGAUAAACGUUGGAUUGUAGGAAAUCUUGAAAGUGAUGAUUACAUCAUAUUAGGAUAGAAGCUGAGUUAGAUUACAAUGCACCAACUGAAGAGGAAGAUGAAUAUGAUCGAAAAGCAGAUUCAACAAAAGGGGAAAAGAAAUAUUGCACCUAAAUCUAAGAAAAGUAAGAAAUUACCUGUCAAGAGAAAGCUACAAGUAGGCACUAGUUCAGAAACCAUAACCCCACAAGAAACUUUCUCAAAUGCCCCUAUUGUUCCUCAAACAGAAAAUGUUGACAUUCCAACACCCUUUCCUAAUGUCUUACACAAAAUUCCAAAGACUACAGCUGCUAGGAAGCAAGGUUCUCAGAAUAAUAAUACUGUGGUUGAGGCAAUGGUGAUGACUAAGUUUGUGUUCAAUGAAGCAGUUAGGAAUAGGCAGGAGAGGGAAGAUCAGGUGGUAGAUGACAGUGCAAGGGUGGAAGAUCAGAUAUGGUGUGGUAAUGGAAACAAGUACUCUUUAUAAGAUGAGAGGGGUGGCUUUGAGGCAGAUAAAUGGUGGGCAUGAUACUUCUUUUGGGCAUUUGCCAAAAUACUGUGAAAUGGUUAAAGCAACCAACCCAGGAUCUAAGGCACACAGUGUUUGGAAGCAACUGAAUCCACCUGAUCCAGCCCUCACCUUUUCAACAAUAUUCAUUUCAUUCAAGGCUGCCAUAGAUGGUGUAAUUGCAGGAUGUAAGACUUUGGUGGAAGUUGAUGGAGCCCACUUGAAAGGCCAUUUUGGUGGGGUUCUUCUAUCUUUUGUGGCAUUAGAUGGAAACAAUGAAUUUUUUCCCUAUGCUUGGGCUGUAGUUCCCAAGGAAAAUGCUAACACAUGGAAGUUUUUCUUUUGGCACUUGAAAAAGAUCUUGUCAGAGUCUGGGAGGGGUAAUGACUGGUGUAUCAUUUCAUACAGACAAAAAGGAAUAGAUCCAACACUGACUAAGAUAUGGCCUGAGGUGGACAGGAGGUAUUGCUGCAAACACUUAGCAGCAAAUUGGAAAGGAGCAUUUCCUGGCCCUUUGAUGCAUUCACUCUUCUGGUUAGCAUGCAGUGCCACAUCACCUUUCACAUUUAAAAAUUUCAUGGAUAGGAUUAAGGCAGUAAAUCCUAAGGCUUGUGAAUGGUUGGCUGAUUUGGGGAACCAGUCAAGGUGGACAAGGCAUAAAUUUGAUCCCAAGAUAUGAAAUGAAGAAAACAAGACCAACUUUGUAGAGAGUUUCAAUUCAGUGGGUGUGGAUAGAUGCAGGCCUAUUUUAACACUAUUAGAAGGUAUAAGAAGAAUGUGUAUGGCGAGGCUAUCAACUAAAAGACAAAAAUGCAACAGUUGGAAUGAAGAUGAACCUUGCCCAAAAAUAGUAAAGAGAAUAAGGGUAUUGACCUUUUAAUCAAGAACUUGCAAAGCUUAUCAAUCAAGGGAGGGUGAAUAUGAAGUGAGGGAUGGGAAGUCUAUGCUUCCUGUAUCACUUAACAAAAAAAACUUGUAUUUGUGGUUUAUGGAAAAAACAUGGUUUGCCUUGCAAACAUGCAAUUAGAGCAAUAUUGGUUGCUGGAUUGAACCCUUACAACUUCUACAGCACAUGGUUCUCAGUCCAAACAUAUAAGCAAGCUUAUGCCAACUCUAUUCACUCUGUACCUGAUUUUGAGCACUGGCCAGAGAUUGACAUGCCCACAAUCCUACCACCACAAAUGACAAGAGCCAUUGGUAGGCCAUCUAGACAGAGGAAAAGGGCAACUGAUGAACCAGACAAAGGAAAAAAGUCAACAAAAGUGCAAUGUUCUAAGUGUCAGUCCUAUGGUCACAACAAGCAGACCUGUAAGGGUGGACUCACUACAGCUGAGAAAAGUGCAAAGGUUGGUAAGAAGAUUGCAAAGGCUAAGGACAAAGCUGCAGCAAGGAAAGCUACUAAACAAAGUGCAGAACAGAGCACUUCCACAUCACAGCCAGUUGGAAAGACAAGAUUCACAAGAAGCUCACUUAAGUUUGCUUCUCAACCUGAGCCCUCCAUUAAUAAUACUCAACAUUCUCAGAAAGCUUAUGAGGGUCCCAGCAGCCAACCUAUUACUAGGUCAAAGACAAAUGCAAAAGGAAAGAACAAAGUCUAAGUUGUCUUGUGACAUGUAGCUUACUGAACUAAGUCUAAGCUUAAGUAUUGUGGGUUUUUUUUUUUCGGGAGCCUAAGAUACAUAUAUGAUAUGUAUUUUGACUAAAUCCUUUAAUGUCCUGUAUUUUGACAUUGCAACAUGCUUUUGAUAUCAUAUUUUAUGCAAAAUAUCA